Long non-coding RNA from Vombatus ursinus (common wombat), 316 nucleotides. RefSeq lists it as uncharacterized. Lineage: Eukaryota; Metazoa; Chordata; Mammalia; Diprotodontia; Vombatidae. The record is from RefSeq and is a predicted model, not a curated record. The transcript has 3 exons.
GUUCCAGGUCCAUCCACAAGAGUAGCACCUAAGCCUACCCUGGAACCCACAGGGCCUGGAGGACGCUCCAAAGCUUCUUUGCUGACCACAUCUCCGCCAGCCACAUCCCCAGGUCCAUCAAUUUUCUCAAGCACCACAGGUUAUAACGAAUACCACAAUGCCAAUGUUCCUUCCACUUUCGUCAACUCUGGGGUCUUUAGAAAGGAAUUCUCGGGGCGGGGCCAAGAGUGAAAGCAGUGCAUUGCUUGAGCUCUCCCCCAAACCCUUCCAAAUACCUGUAAAAAAAUGGCUCAAAAAAAAUUCUACAGCAGCAGAA